CCCACGCGGUGACACACACCAAAGUGCAAAUUUGGAGACGCACCCAGAAGGUGCCGGGGCUUCUCCCGUUUGUGAAAGACGGGAGAAGA
RNAcentral lists this transfer RNA (89 nucleotides) under Cyrtodactylus multiporus. RNAcentral's name for it is "tRNA-Cys". The record is from RNAcentral. Lineage: Eukaryota; Metazoa; Chordata; Lepidosauria; Squamata; Gekkonidae.